UCCAGACUCCUACGGGAGGCAGCAGUGGGGGAUAUUGCACAAUGGGGGAAACCCUGAUGCAGCGACGCCGCGUGAGUGAAGAAGUAUUUCGGUAUGUAAAGCCCUAUCGGCAGGGAAGAAGCAAGACGGUACCUGACUAAGAAGCCCCGGCUAACUACGUGCCAGCAGCCGCGGUAAUACGUAGGGGGCGAGCGUUAUCCGGAUUCACUGGGUGUAAAGGGAGCGUAGACGGCCAUGCAAGCCAGGGGUGAAAGCCCGGGGCCCAACCCCGGGACUGCUCUUGGAACUGCGUGGCUGGAGUGCAGGAGGGGCAGGCGGAAUUCCUGGUGUAGCGGUGAAAUGCGUAGAUAUCAGGAGGAACACCGGUGGCGAAGGCGGCCUGCUGGACUGCAACUGACGUUGAGGCCCGAAAGCGUGGGGAGCAAACAGGAUUAGAUACCCUCGUAGC
This 448-nucleotide ribosomal RNA is filed under the name uncultured bacterium. RNAcentral describes it as "bacterial SSU rRNA". It matches the Rfam family "Bacterial small subunit ribosomal RNA", at positions 330 to 794 of the family's 1533-position model. The record is from RNAcentral.